Molecule: ribosomal RNA, 468 nt
Filed under: Triticum aestivum (bread wheat)
Lineage: Eukaryota; Viridiplantae; Streptophyta; Magnoliopsida; Poales; Poaceae
Description: partial small subunit ribosomal RNA
Source: RNAcentral
AUGGCUACCCGAGAUCCCCAGUAUCCGGCUCCUAAGGAGAGCGACAGCAAGGGUCCGUACAGUGUGCGGUCGGACGCGCUGAAGGAUCUUCUGGGGCAAGCGGCCGUCUCGGAAGCGCAUCGUACGCUAAUGGGUACGGUAAUUGAAAGGAUUUCAUCCGCUGAAAGCAGUUUGCAUGAAGCCUUUAUGAGUCUACUGAAAGGCUUCAAGGUCGCUGAAGCUCCGGUGGCUAGCCGGAGUGAUGGGUUUGCCGAGCUAAAUCGGCAACUAGAUGCGGCAGAUGCCAACAUCGUGCUUGUCAACAAGCGUCUUGAUGAGGCACAGGAUGGAGCUGCCACCGUGGAGACCCUUCGGGCAGAGCUUGCCCGAGCCAAGGAGCAAGCAAGGAGGAGCAAUGUGGCCGCUCUAAAGGCGGCCGAAGAGUUAAGGCCGAACAAGCCGUGCAUUGCGAGAGUAAGGAAAAAAUAG